Molecule: transfer RNA, 67 nt
Filed under: Eurycotis sp. B074
Lineage: Eukaryota; Metazoa; Arthropoda; Insecta; Blattodea; Blattidae
Description: tRNA-Thr
Source: RNAcentral
GUUUUAAUAAUUUAAAAAAAAAAUUUUGGUCUUGUAAAUCAAAAAUAAGGCUAAUCCUUUUAAAACU